AAUCUUAUAGUUAUAUAAUAUAAAAUAUUAAAUUGCAAAUUUAAAGAAUUUUAAUUUAAAAUAAGAUUU
RNAcentral lists this transfer RNA (69 nucleotides) under Acropyga arnoldi. RNAcentral's name for it is "tRNA-Cys". Lineage: Eukaryota; Metazoa; Arthropoda; Insecta; Hymenoptera; Formicidae. The record is from RNAcentral.